UUUCUGUGUUCUCUGAGUCAGCAAACGAUGUAAACUAUGAAAGACACAUUCAUUAUCAGUCAUAUGGAUUCACAAAGCCAAAGUUUGUGUGUUUACUUGCUCACCACAACACUCAGCUUAUUAAACAUACAAUUCCACCAGUAGAUGCGUACACUGGUUGUCGACAGAAGCACUCGGCAUGGUUUCGUCCUUCUCAUGCCAGGCUCUUUGAUGGUUACUGGUGUUCUUGACGUUACACUAGCGAAUGAUGUUAUGUUAAUGUUUCUUGCACCUGUAAACAUGUUUUAGAGGUCGCAUCAGUGAAUCUUAAAAUAAAUCUGUAGCGCUGGCUAAAAUAUAGGUUACAAGUGGUUGCCUUUGUAACUUCACUGCUACUGCUGCUUUGAUGUUACACUAGCAAAUGAAGUUAUGUUUCUUGCAGUUUUAUGCUUCCCGUCAAUGGUGCAAAGCUCUGCCGCUGCAGCUACUCAGCUUUGAUUUUAUGUUUUCGAUCCUACAAAAAACACAUCCUCAUUAUUUGGUUAACCGGGUAGAAGUUGUAUGCAUCGUUGUCCUGUAGGUCUUUGCUAUCAUUUUGGUGCAACACGGGCCUUUUACUCCCAUUAUUUGAGGAAGAUGAAUGUGCGUCUUGGUCUACUAGAGAGCGACCAUUAAUCACAACUCUUUUCCAAACUGGACUGAGAUUCCUCAUCUGACUUGCCAACUGAAGAAUCAAUUGGAGCUGGCGGUUGUUGCUCCUUUCGUGGAGAUAGGUGCUUGAUUACCAACUAGAGAAACACCAGGAGGUGAGAAUGAUGGAAUCUGAUUUAAAGUGUCCGUGCUUGAUUUGCUACAAUGUAAGGAGAGCCCAAAGUACCUAAAAGUGUAAGAGGAUAGCCCAAAGUAACUAAACAUGUAAAGCACUCAUAUAUAAACACAAGGCCCACAAUCAUGUGCUUGGUUGGCUUGUAUUGAAGACCGGCACUGGUUCUCGCACUGUAUGGUUGACUAUAGAUUGGGCCUUGUUGAUCUAGUUGAUAAAGAAAAAAAA
RNAcentral lists this long non-coding RNA (1030 nucleotides) under Brassica napus (rape). RNAcentral describes it as "long non-coding RNA (BNAP_LNC000934)". The record is from RNAcentral. Lineage: Eukaryota; Viridiplantae; Streptophyta; Magnoliopsida; Brassicales; Brassicaceae.